UGGGGAAUUUUGCACAAUGGGGGAAACCCUGAUGCAGCGACGCCGCGUGAUUUAGAAGGCCUUCGGGUUGUAAAAAUCUUUUGUAUGGGAAGAAAAUGACAGUACCAUACGAAUAAGGACCGGCUAAUUACGUGCCAGCAGCCGCGGUAAUACGUAAGGUCCGAGCGUUGUCCGGAAUCAUUGGGCGUAAAGGGUACGUAGGCGGAUAAGCAAGUUAGAAGUGAAAUCCUAUAGCUCAACUAUAGUAAGCUUUUAAAACUGCUCAUCUUGAGGUAUGGAAGGGAAAGUGGAAUUCCUAGUGUAGCGGUGAAAUGCGCAGAUAUUAGGCGGAAUACCGGUGGCGAAGGCGACUUUCUUGACAUAUACUGACACUGAGGUACGAAAGCGUGGGUAGCAAGCAGG
This 402-nucleotide ribosomal RNA is filed under the name Verrucomicrobiota bacterium. RNAcentral describes it as "Verrucomicrobia bacterium partial 16S ribosomal RNA". It matches the Rfam family "Bacterial small subunit ribosomal RNA", at positions 355 to 776 of the family's 1533-position model. The record is from RNAcentral. Lineage: Bacteria; Pseudomonadati; Verrucomicrobiota.